RNAcentral lists this non-coding RNA (253 nucleotides) under Fructilactobacillus sanfranciscensis. RNAcentral's name for it is "Lactobacillus sanfranciscensis T-box sequence". It matches the Rfam family "T-box leader". From Rfam's summary of the family: Uncharged tRNA acts as the effector for transcription antitermination of genes in the T-box leader family. T-boxes are found upstream of many aminoacyl-tRNA synthetase genes and some amino acid biosynthetic genes usually in Gram-positive bacteria. The anticodon of a specific tRNA base pairs to a specifier sequence within the T-box motif, and the NCCA acceptor tail of the tRNA base pairs to a conserved bulge in the T-box antiterminator hairpin. The record is from RNAcentral. Lineage: Bacteria; Bacillati; Bacillota; Bacilli; Lactobacillales; Lactobacillaceae.
AUUAACCGUUUUACCAGUUGAGUACAAAGUAAAAAUUUGUUUAGAGAGUUCCUGUUUGGUGCAAAGGAAUCAAAUUUAGCUUUAGAAGAUGGACUAGGUUUCGGAUUAUUAGUGAGUUUCGACAAGCUAAUAACGGUUUUGUGCCCGAUAUCAGUACAAGAUUAUUCCAAUUUAUUUGGUGCAAUCUACUGAGGUUGGGUCUUAACGGGUCUAGCGAACUAAGGUGGUAUCACGACAAACAGUCGUCCUUUAA